UGCAGAGGUGGCAAGCGUUGUUCGGAAUUACUGGGCGUAAAGGGCGCGUAGGCGGCCAUCUAAGUCAGACGUGAAAUCCCCCGGCUUAACCUGGGAACUGCGUCUGAUACUGGACGGCUUGAGUAUGGGAGAGGGAUGUAGAAUUCCAGGUGUAGCGGUGAAAUGCGUAGAUAUCUGGAGGAAUACCGGUGGCGAAGGCGGCAUCCUGGACCAUUACUGACGCUGAUGCGCGAAAGCUAGGGGAGCAAACGGG
RNAcentral lists this ribosomal RNA (253 nucleotides) under uncultured bacterium. RNAcentral describes it as "partial 16S ribosomal RNA". It matches the Rfam family "Bacterial small subunit ribosomal RNA", at positions 524 to 776 of the family's 1533-position model. The record is from RNAcentral.